GACGAACGCUGGCGGCGUGCUUAACACAUGCAAGUCGAACGGAAAGGCCUGCAGCUUGCUGCGGGUACUCGAGUGGCGAACGGGUGAGUAACACGUGGGUGAUCUGCCUUGCACUUCGGGAUAAGCUUGGGAAACUGGGUCUAAUACCGGAUAGGACAGCUGUUUAGUGUCAGUUGUGGAAAGUUUUUUCGGUGCAAGAUGAGCUCGCGGCCUAUCAGCUUGUUGGUGGGGUAAUGGCCUACCAAGGCGUCGACGGGUAGCCGGCCUGAGAGGGUGUACGGCCACAUUGGGACUGAGAUACGGCCCAGACUCCUACGGGAGGCAGCAGUGGGGAAUAUUGCACAAUGGGCGGAAGCCUGAUGCAGCGACGCCGCGUGGGGGAUGAAGGCCUUCGGGUUGUAAACUCCUUUCGACAGGGACGAAGCUUUUGUGACGGUACCUGUAUAAGAAGCACCGGCUAACUACGUGCCAGCAGCCGCGGUAAUACGUAGGGUGCGAGCGUUGUCCGGAAUUACUGGGCGUAAAGAGCUCGUAGGUGGUUUGUCGCGUCGUCUGUGAAAUUCCGGGGCUUAACUCCGGGCGUGCAGGCGAUACGGGCUGACUUGAGUGCUGUAGGGGAGACUGGAAUUCCUGGUGUAGCGGUGGAGUGCGCAGAUAUCAGGAGGAACACCGAUGGCGAAGGCAGGUCUCUGGGCAGUAACUGACGCUGAGGAGCGAAAGCAUGGGUAGCGAACAGG
RNAcentral lists this ribosomal RNA (737 nucleotides) under uncultured Corynebacterium sp. RNAcentral describes it as "bacterial SSU rRNA". It matches the Rfam family "Bacterial small subunit ribosomal RNA", at positions 28 to 776 of the family's 1533-position model. Lineage: Bacteria; Bacillati; Actinomycetota; Actinomycetes; Mycobacteriales; Corynebacteriaceae. The record is from RNAcentral.